GACGAACGCUGGCGGCGUGCUUAACACAUGCAAGUCGAACGGUGAAGCUCCAGCUUGCUGGAGUGGAUCAGUGGCGAACGGGUGAGUAACACGUGAGCAACCUGCCCCUGACUCUGGAAUAAGCGCUGGAAACGGCGUCUAAUACUGGAUACGAGAAGGGUCCGCAUGGGCACUUUCUGGAAAGUUUUUCGGUUGGGGAUGGGCUCGCGGCCUAUCAGCUUGUUGGUGAGGUAAUGGCUCACCAAGGCGACGACGGGUAGCCGGCCUGAGAGGGCGACCGGCCACACUGGGACUGAGACACGGCCCAGACUCCUACGGGAGGCAGCAGUGGGGAAUAUUGCACAAUGGGCGAAAGCCUGAUGCAGCGACGCCGCGUGAGGGAUGACGGCCUUCGGGUUGUAAACCUCUUUCAGCAGGGAAGAAGCGAAAGUGACGGUACCUGCAGAAGAAGCACCGGCUAACUCCGUG
RNAcentral lists this ribosomal RNA (468 nucleotides) under uncultured bacterium. RNAcentral describes it as "partial 16S ribosomal RNA". It matches the Rfam family "Bacterial small subunit ribosomal RNA", at positions 28 to 507 of the family's 1533-position model. The record is from RNAcentral.